UAAUCUUCAAUUUAUUUCCAAGAAAUUAAAAAGCUAUUUACAUCACAGAUAUUUACAAGAUGCCAUCUGAAUUGCUAUUAACAUGCACAGAGUGAGAAGCCUUUCAAUGAACUGCUAUUGUGAAAUGCACUUACAGAGUUUAUUAACAUUUGGACAGAAGUGGCAGCAAAGACCACCCGUAAGUGAAGGAUUCACCCAUCAGUUUAGCUUGGCACAGGUUUAGGACAAAGAAAAAUGUAUAACAUAUAUAGUUAAUCGAUG
This is a non-coding RNA of Pelobates cultripes (western spadefoot toad), 261 nucleotides long. Lineage: Eukaryota; Metazoa; Chordata; Amphibia; Anura; Pelobatidae. The record is from the annotation of a GenBank genome assembly.